ACGAACGCUGGCGGCGUGCUUAACACAUGCAAGUCGAACGAUGAACCACUUCGGUGGGGAUUAGUGGCGAACGGGUGAGUAACACGUGGGCAAUCUGCCCUGCACUCUGGGACAAGCCCUGGAAACGGGGUCUAAUACCGGAUAUUGACCACCGCAGGCAUCUGUGGUGGUGGAAAGCUCCGGCGGUGCAGGAUGAGCCCGCGGCCUAUCAGCUAGUUGGUGAGGUAAUGGCUCACCAAGGCGACGACGGGUAGCCGGCCUGAGAGGGCGACCGGCCACACUGGGACUGAGACACGGCCCAGACUCCUACGGGAGGCAGCAGUGGGGAAUAUUGCACAAUGGGCGAAAGCCUGAUGCAGCGACGCCGCGUGAGGGAUGACGGCCUUCGGGUUGUAAACCUCUUUCAGCAGGGAAGAAGCGAAAGUGACGGUACCUGCAGAAGAAGCGCCGGCUAACUACGUGCCAGCAGCCGCGGUAAUACGUAGGGCGCGAGCGUUGUCCGGAAUUAUUGGGCGUAAAGAGCUCGUAGGCGGCUUGUCACGUCGGUUGUGAAAGCCCGGGGCUUAACCCCGGGUCUGCAGUCGAUACGGGCAGGCUAGAGUUCGGUAGGGGAGAUCGGAAUUCCUGGUGUAGCGGUGAAAUGCGCAGAUAUCAGGAGGAACACCGGUGGCGAAGGCGGAUCUCUGGGCCGAUACUGACGCUGAGGAGCGAAAGCGUGGGGAGCGAACAGGAUUAGAUACCCUGGUAGUCCACGCCGUAAACGGUGGGCA
Molecule: ribosomal RNA, 770 nt
Filed under: Streptomyces violaceus
Lineage: Bacteria; Bacillati; Actinomycetota; Actinomycetes; Kitasatosporales; Streptomycetaceae
Description: bacterial SSU rRNA
Rfam family: Bacterial small subunit ribosomal RNA
Source: RNAcentral